AAGCGGUGGAUGAUGUGGUUUAAUUCGAUGCAACGCGAAAGCCUUACCCACCUUUGACAUGGCAGGAAUCCUAAGAGAUUUGGGAGUGCUCGAAAGAGAACCUGCACACAGGUGCUGCAUGGCUGUCGUCAGCUCGUGUCGUGAGAUGUUGGGUUAAGUCCCGCAACGAGCGCAACCCUUGCCAUUAGUUGCUACGAAAGGGCACUCUAAUGGGACUGCCGGUGACAAACCGGAGGAAGGUGGGGAUGACGUCAAGUCCUCAUGGCCCUUAUAGGUGGGGCUACACACGUCAUACAAUGGCCGGUACAGAGGGUAGCCAACCCGCGAGGGGGAGCCAAUCCCACAAAGCCGGUCGUAGUCCGGAUCGCAGUCUGCAACUCGACUGCGUGAAGUCGGAAUCGCUAGUAAUCGCGGAUCAGCAUGUCGCGGUGAAUACGUUCCCGGGUCUU
This 449-nucleotide ribosomal RNA is filed under the name uncultured Allobrachymonas sp. RNAcentral's name for it is "bacterial SSU rRNA". It matches the Rfam family "Bacterial small subunit ribosomal RNA", at positions 927 to 1382 of the family's 1533-position model. Lineage: Bacteria; Pseudomonadati; Pseudomonadota; Betaproteobacteria; Burkholderiales; Comamonadaceae. The record is from RNAcentral.